This 316-nucleotide ribosomal RNA is filed under the name Schaalia sp. Its description in RNAcentral is "partial 23S ribosomal RNA". It matches the Rfam family "Bacterial large subunit ribosomal RNA", at positions 2619 to 2925 of the family's 2925-position model. Lineage: Bacteria; Bacillati; Actinomycetota; Actinomycetes; Actinomycetales; Actinomycetaceae. The record is from RNAcentral.
UCGUGAGACAGUUCGGUCCCUAUCCUCUGUGCGCGCAGGAAAUUUGAGAAGGGCCGUCCCCAGUACGAGAGGACCGGGAUGGACGAACCUCUGGUGUGCCAGUUGUACCGCCAGGUGCAUGGCUGGUUAGCUACGUUCGGAAGGGAUAACCGCUGAAAGCAUCUAAGCGGGAAGCCUGCUUCAAGAUGAGAUUUCCACGCCCCCCUGUGGGGUGAGAGGCCCCCGCCAGACUAGCGGGUUGAUAGGCCAGAGGUGGAAGCACAGCAAUGUGCUCGUGAGCCGACUGGUACUAAUGGGCCAACACUAAACAACACCC